CGCCCUUAGAGUUUGAUCAUGGCUCAGGACGAACGCUGGCGGCGUGCCUAAUACAUGCAAGUAGAACGGAGGAGCUUGCUCUUCGAGUUGCGAACGGGUGAGUAACGCGUAGGUAACCUGCCUUGUAGCGGGGGAUAACUAUUGGAAACGAUAGCUAAUACCGCAUAACAAUGGGACACAUGUCUUUAUUUGAAAGGGGAUUGCUCCACUACAAGAUGGACCUGCGUUGUAUUAGCUAGUAGGCGAGGUAAUGGCUCACCUAGGCGACGAUACAUAGCCGACCUGAGAGGGUGAUCGGCCACACUGGGACUGAGACACGGCCCAGACUCCUACGGGAGGCAGCAGUAGGGAAUCUUCGGCAAUGGGGGCAACCCUGACCGAGCAACGCCGCGUGAGUGAAGAAGGUUUUCGGAUCGUAAGCUCUGUUGUAAGUCAAGAACGGGUGUGAGGAAAUUCACACUGUGACGGU
This 469-nucleotide ribosomal RNA is filed under the name uncultured Streptococcus sp. Its description in RNAcentral is "bacterial SSU rRNA". It matches the Rfam family "Bacterial small subunit ribosomal RNA", at positions 1 to 476 of the family's 1533-position model. Lineage: Bacteria; Bacillati; Bacillota; Bacilli; Lactobacillales; Streptococcaceae. The record is from RNAcentral.